RNAcentral lists this long non-coding RNA (336 nucleotides) under Nicotiana benthamiana. Its description in RNAcentral is "long non-coding RNA (NBEN_LNC001958)". Lineage: Eukaryota; Viridiplantae; Streptophyta; Magnoliopsida; Solanales; Solanaceae. The record is from RNAcentral.
UUUUUCGAUUCGGUUAGUUUUCGUCAAACUACUUGUAUUUUUUGUUGUUAAACUUGUUAUCUGCUGUGUAAACAUCAUAGUUUGUAUUUUUGUUGAUUUUUUGGUUAGAUUCUGUGUUAGUCAUUUGUUGUAGUCACGAUCUGUUAGUCUGUUGAGAUUAAACAUCAUCAGUAGAUAAAAAUGGUAGAAAUCGAUGAUGAUUCUUCUUCUGUUCCUACCAAUUUUGUUCCUAGUCCUACAAACCCUCUAUUUCUUAUGUCAUCCGAUGUUCCUGGAGUGUCUUUGGUUACCAAUCCAUUCUCAGGGAUUGGUUUUGGGGGAUGGAGGAGAAACGUA